GCCUGCGGAAUCGCCGAGAGAGCCAGAAAUUGGAAUUCUGAAUUGUUUAAAUAGAGCAGAGGAGAGGUGCCCUGUUUAGGAAAAUUGUUGUCCAUGCGGUCCCACGGUGAAGCGCGGUCAUCUGGUGAAGUGAGCGGUCUGUCCACGUGCGGUCCAUUGCGUGAGUGUUGAGGAGCUCGGUCCACGGUGAAUUGGUCCAUGUUGCGCUGAACGGUGAGGUCCAUGUGAAGGAGAGUUGAGGCGGAGCCCAUAUGCGAUUGAUUGUGCGUGGACUGGUCCACUGGAGGGAAUUGUGAACUUGCGGCCAUGUGCUGGAGUGGUGAAAGUGCAGUGGCCCAUUUGAAAUGUUGGCCAUUUGCAUGUGAAUGUGGUCCACGUGCAGGAGUGCUUCG
This 392-nucleotide long non-coding RNA is filed under the name Manihot esculenta (cassava). RNAcentral's name for it is "long non-coding RNA (MESC_LNC001645)". Lineage: Eukaryota; Viridiplantae; Streptophyta; Magnoliopsida; Malpighiales; Euphorbiaceae. The record is from RNAcentral.